RNAcentral lists this small nuclear RNA (107 nucleotides) under Erinaceus europaeus (western European hedgehog). The record is from RNAcentral. Lineage: Eukaryota; Metazoa; Chordata; Mammalia; Eulipotyphla; Erinaceidae.
UUAACAUUGCUCCAGGUUAAAAACACACACACACACACACACACAGAAGAUUAGCAUGGCUCCUUGUACAAGGAUGACCCCAAAUUCUUGAAGCAUUCCAUAUUUUU